This 253-nucleotide ribosomal RNA is filed under the name uncultured bacterium. RNAcentral describes it as "partial 16S ribosomal RNA". It matches the Rfam family "Bacterial small subunit ribosomal RNA", at positions 524 to 776 of the family's 1533-position model. The record is from RNAcentral.
UACGUAGGGGGCAAGCGUUAUCCGGAUUUACUGGGUGUAAAGGGAGCGUAGACGGAAUUGCAAGUCUGAUGUGAAAAUCCGGGGCCCAACCCCGGAACUGCAUUGGAAACUGUAUUUCUAGAGUGUCGGAGAGGCAAGUGGAAUUCCUGGUGUAGCGGUGAAAUGCGUAGAUAUCAGGAGGAACACUAGUGGCGAAGGCGGCUUGCUGGACGAUGACUGACGUUGAGGCUCGAAAGCGUGGGGAGCAAACAGG